Molecule: transfer RNA, 73 nt
Filed under: Ixodes scapularis (black-legged tick)
Lineage: Eukaryota; Metazoa; Arthropoda; Arachnida; Ixodida; Ixodidae
Rfam family: tRNA
About the family: Transfer RNA (tRNA) molecules are approximately 80 nucleotides in length. Their secondary structure includes four short double-helical elements and three loops (D, anti-codon, and T loops).
Source: Rfam by way of RNAcentral
CCCUGGUUGGCUCAGUUGGUGGAGUGCUCCACUCGAAAGGUAGAGGUCCCGGGUUCGACACCCGGACCAGAAG